Molecule: long non-coding RNA, 298 nt
Organism: Lampris incognitus (smalleye Pacific opah)
Lineage: Eukaryota; Metazoa; Chordata; Actinopteri; Lampriformes; Lampridae
Exons: 3
Source: RefSeq, a predicted model, not a curated record
GGAGAGAGGAGAGGAGAGGAGAUGAUCAGCCUCUACUGGUAUGUUUUCUCUGACAGCUCUUACGGUGUGUUUGUGAAGACUAUAUAUCAAUAAAGCGGAUCUUUAUAAACCAGCAGUUUAAGACUACGACCAUCAAUCCGCUGGGGAUGCUCCAGUCACGACUCGGAAAGGGUCGAGAACCACUGCGACAAGUCUGUGUGGGCAUCCUUACUCAAUCGGCGAAACAAGCUACACUCACCCACCUUAGCAGCCCUGAGGACAGUCAGGCCUUCGAACUUUUCAUGAGGUGUGUGCGGAG